RNAcentral lists this ribosomal RNA (520 nucleotides) under uncultured bacterium. Its description in RNAcentral is "bacterial SSU rRNA". It matches the Rfam family "Bacterial small subunit ribosomal RNA", at positions 94 to 630 of the family's 1533-position model. The record is from RNAcentral.
AGUGGCGAACGGGUGAGGAACACGUGGCCAACCUACCCCGGCGUGGGGGAUACCCGCCAGAAAUGGCGGCUAAUACCGCGUACGGUCGCAUGAUGGUGAGUCGUGCGAAGAAAGCAGUGAUGCGCGCUGGGAGGGGGCUGCGACCGAUUAGCUUGUUGGCGGGGUAACGGCCCACCAAGGCGAUGAUCGGUAGCGGGUCUGAGAGGAUGAUCCGCCACACGGGGACUGAGACACGGCCCCGACUCCUACGGGAGGCAGCAGCAAGGGAUUUUCCGCAAUGGGGGCAACCCUGACGGAGCAACGCCGCGUGCGGGACGACGCCUCUUGGGGUGUAAACCGCUUUUGCCGAGGACGAGAAUGGACGGUACUCGGCGAAUCAGGACCGGCUAACUACGUGCCAGCAGCCGCGGUAAUACGUAGGGUCCGAGCGUUGUCCGGAGUGACUGGGCGUAAAGCGCGCGCAGGCGGCCUUUUAGGCACGACGUGAAAGCCCCGGGCUCAACCCGGGAGGGUCGUCGUG